Molecule: long non-coding RNA, 202 nt
Filed under: Mytilus galloprovincialis (Mediterranean mussel)
Lineage: Eukaryota; Metazoa; Mollusca; Bivalvia; Mytilida; Mytilidae
Source: RNAcentral
UGGUCAUCCCUUUGUGUACGUCAUUCAACCAGUGAUGGCCUGUAUACAGAGCCAAUUCCAAGAAUUUAAAUAGUUGAAGGUCUUCAAUAAGUCCAAAGUAUUAAUGGCCUGAAGAUAUCUUGAAUUCUAGUCACAUGUAAAUGUUAACAAAGAUAGUCAACAAAGUUGCCUUGCUUUUGAUACCAAGAUGCCAUAUACAGGG